This 453-nucleotide unclassified non-coding RNA is filed under the name Sideritis candicans. RNAcentral's name for it is "partial contains external transcribed spacer and small subunit ribosomal RNA". The record is from RNAcentral. Lineage: Eukaryota; Viridiplantae; Streptophyta; Magnoliopsida; Lamiales; Lamiaceae.
UGGCCCUGCCGGGCAGCGACGAUGUUCCGAUCAAGCCCCUUCAGUUGUUGGCUCAAGCGCUCAAAGCCUUGGCCGACGUUGGUUUCUUGUGCUGAAUUCCUAAUCGAUGGCAACCUUUUGUCCACCAAAGUCCCGCACUCCUCCUUUCAUCCCGUCUCCGUAAGGGGACGAGGCGUGGGGAGGACAUCAAAGCCCCCGUCGUGUCUCGGCACCUGUGCUCCCCCGCUAGAUCGGGCUUGCCAGGGCCGUCGACCCACGACGUCGUGCUCGAUCUCUCGGAUGCGGAAAACCAAGCGGCCAUGAGGCCACGACCUCUGUUGCCCCUUUAGAAGAGCGUCUGACGCUCCCUGCAGACGACUGCCUGUCGGGUCUUGGCUCGGGGCCCGAGCGGUUCCGGAUCAUGCCCGAUCGGUGUCGACGAGGAAUGCUACCUGGUUGAUCCUGCCAGUAGUC